AGCAGAGGUCCAGCUGGGUCUGAGGGUGACCUUCCACAGAGGCACUCACUGCUCUACCUGAACCUCUGACACCACAUCAUCUCUAUUAAACUAACCACAGAAUGCAGACCACACGGAGCAAGAUGCUUCAACCCAUGAUCCCCAGCAUGGGGCAGUGCAUUGUUCAGGACAAAGAUCUUUCCAACCCAGUGUUGUCUCCCUAACAGUGACAAAAAUAGAUGCCCAGGGAAAACAGAAAGUAUGGGAAAAAAACUGAUACACCCCCAAUACUCUCCCAGUCAUCUGGGAUUGAUGUCUUGCAUGUUUCUUGAGCCAGAGCAGUGCCUGUAUUUGAGAGUGUAUGGGAACUGCUAAAUCAUGGCCUGAAGCAAUGAUUGAGCACCUGAUGAAGGGACACAGCCAGCCCUGGGAGCACAGGUGAAAGCAAUUCACCUGUGUGGACAGGUUCCACCCCUCCCUAAGCCUCAUUUAAGGGCUGGCUGCUGCAAGGGAUGGCUCUCCUCUUUGAGAUGCCUGUUUUUGGAGUAUUUAGUGAGCCCUGAUCUUUGGGAUAGUCUUGUUUCUCUAGGGCACCUCCUCUGUUUUCCUUACUGCAGUACGGCAAAGGUUAUCUGGAUUACUGCUUGUGUCAGUGAUAUCACCACAUCAGUGUGUGGGUCCUGCCCCUCUUGAAUUACCCUGAACCCUGUGGUGUUCUGGAGGUGGAGUGGGUGCCCCUUACUGAGCAUCCUGUGAUGCUCCCAGAAAACUGCCUGCAUUGGGUAGGACAGCCAUGGCCCUUCCAUCAUCUCCAGAUGACAUUCCCUUCACAUCUGCCUCCUCACCAAGAGAUGUCAAGGCCAGUGUGGUUCAGUAGUGCCUGCAGGAGCUUGUCUCAAGCAGGGAAAAAGCAAGUCUGGAUAGCCUCGUGCAGGGUACCAAGGGGCAGCACGUAUGGUUGGGGUUUGGACUAUGCCAAGAACAAGGGAUCUGCUAUGCAGGUGUGAUGUGUUUCUUUCCCAGCCAUGUGGAUUUGCAGCUUUGCUAAAGGGGAAAUCUGUGGUUGCUGCAGUGCUGAGUAAUUCCUAAAUCCCUUGAUGGAAGCUGCCCUGUAUUCAUGUGGCUACAGGAGAGCUGGUUUGUAUUUUAAGGAAUCAUUGUGGGUGAUGCAGCCACAUCCUCUUUUAAGUCAUGCAGGAAGUCAGCAAUUACUCUCAUGGAUUUCAACCUGAAGUGUGACAGUGCUUUGUGCAAAUGGGGUUUUGCUGGUGUCACACCCAGGCUACCACCAUCCAACCUGCUCCCCAGACCAUAGAAUCAAACAUAGAAUCAUGAAAUAUCCCGAGCUGGAAGGGAUCCAUAAGGAUCACUGAGUCCAAUUCUUGACUGAUCUCCUUCCUCAGCCAUGCUCAUUCCUGGUUAAUACUAGCUGGACUAAAUGCAAGCUGGUUUAAUUUGUAUCAAUCUGCCUCUGCCUCUAAAGUGGGGUCAAAAGCAGUACCAACAGAAACUGCGUGAUAAAACCCAGCCACCCUGACCACAGUUAGUUUUAUUUAAUUAGUUUGUAGGAGUGCUAUUUGUCAGUGUUAAUCUACCAUUGUCAUUGGAAGACAUUCGUGCAAACUCCUGUCAGUAGCUGGCCACAUGUGAAUAAAUGCCAUUGUGGAUGUUGAGUCAUUCAGGAAGGUAAAUAAAUUGGUUUCCUGGGCUCUGAAUGCCAAGGCUUUUAUAGCAGGAUGAAGAGAAUUGCACGACAUGGUUCCAUACAGCUUAUAAAAUGUAUAUGAAAGCUAUUUUGUCCUACCCAUCCUAGUUAUGAUGUAUAAAUAGAUACACCAUUUUUUUUCCCAAGCAUAGAGUUAGUUGGAAUUAUU
Non-coding RNA from Coturnix japonica (Japanese quail), 1853 nucleotides. The record is from RefSeq and is a predicted model, not a curated record. Lineage: Eukaryota; Metazoa; Chordata; Aves; Galliformes; Phasianidae.